RNAcentral lists this ribosomal RNA (422 nucleotides) under uncultured bacterium. RNAcentral's name for it is "bacterial SSU rRNA". It matches the Rfam family "Bacterial small subunit ribosomal RNA", at positions 355 to 774 of the family's 1533-position model. The record is from RNAcentral.
UAGGGAAUAUUGGACAAUGGGCGCAAGCCUGAUCCAGCCACCCCGCGUGAAGGAUUAAGGUCCUAUGGAUUGUAAACUUCUUUUCUCUGGGAAUAAAAACCGGUAUUUAUACUGGCUUGAAGGUACCAGAGGAAUAAGCACCGGCUAACUCCGUGCCAGCAGCCGCGGUAAUACGGAGGGUGCAAGCGUUAUCCGGAUUCACUGGGUUUAAAGGGUGCGUAGGUGGCUUUGUAAGUCAGUGGUGAAAGCCCGGAGCUUAACUCCGGAACUGCCAUUGAUACUGCUUAGCUUGAAUCAACUUGAGGUGGAUGGAAUAUUACAUGUAGCGGUGAAAUGCUUAGAUAUGUAAUAGAACACCGAUUGCGAAGGCAGUUCACUAGGGUUGUAUUGACACUGAGGCACGAAAGCGUGGGGAUCAAACA